This 1920-nucleotide unclassified non-coding RNA is filed under the name Leishmania donovani. RNAcentral's name for it is "gene:LdHU3.25.1520(CDS-product:alpha-tubulin_N-ac etyltransferase_putative)". The record is from RNAcentral. Lineage: Eukaryota; Euglenozoa; Kinetoplastea; Trypanosomatida; Trypanosomatidae.
CUCGUGUGCGCAGGAGGAGGCCCACGCGUGUCGAACAACAAACCAACGCAGCGCGCACACGUACAUUGGCGCACAAAAGGCGCCUCUGGAGUCUGCUGCGGAUGCACCUUUGUUUUUGUUUUGCGCUACCUCUCUCGCUGUUCUGACGGGGCCGUGGGUGUAGAUUAGCUUAGCUGAGCUGGCCCCUCCCGCCGCCACCACCCCACCAUCAACACCACGGGACACAGCGAUCCAUGCACUUUCCGUCUUUCGGAUCUCCACCGCCGUCCUUGCCGCUCGCUUUCGCUCUUUUCUAUUCGUUUCGCGGUCCGUUCUGACUGCUUCCUCGGCGAUCCACUCCGGUCCCUCUAUCGUGAUGCGUCGUCGGCCAGCGCAGCUGACCGCGACAAAACUGGCAGACGAGGAGGUGCCUGAGCUGACCUUGGUGCCAGACGGCGUCUCUCGAUGGACUGGCGCGGACCUCGACGCUCUGCGCAAUGCUGCUCGCCGCGGCGGUGCGGAAGCGGCGCAGCAGGACCUGGAGCGCAAGCUGUGCCGCACUAUCGAUAUCCUCGGCGCCCGUAGCCAGCAGGCGCAGGAGAUCAACACUGUGCUCACCUCUGUGGCGCGACUCCGGGAGAACAGCACCUUCCGACUCUACUUGCUUACCCAGAACCACCGCGGUGUCGGCAUUCUGAAGGUGGGCGUGAAGAAGCUGUUCGUGACGCACCCCGUUACCUGUGGCCUGGUGGAGGUGGACCCCCUCUGCGUGCUGGACUUCUACGUGGACGAGAGUUGCCAGCGGCAAGGAUACGGGAAGACGCUUUACUCGCACAUGCUCAAGGCGGAGCACGUGUCCAGGCCCGAGGUGCUGGCCAUUGACCGCCCCAGCAACAAGCUGCUCGGCUUCCUCAGGAAGCACUACGGACUCGCCGCGUACACGCCGCAGGUAAACAACUUCGUCGUUUUUCACAGCUUUUUCGACCACACCACCGUGUCUGAGCGCGGCAAGCUACUGCGGGCGCCGUCUCCUGCGCGCGCAUUACCGUUUUCGUCCUCAACGAAUGCUACCGCUGCCAUCGGCGGCGCAAAAGCAAAAAACUGGGCGCCCGGGUAGACACUGGUAUGGCAGCGCCCUCACCAGCUGCCGGCGCUGCUGCUGCUGCUGCCUUCAGCACUCCUGGUCUACCCGGGCUUCCACUGCUGGCGUCGCCACCACUGCAUGGACUCGGUCUUGCGUCACCGGCUCUGCUGCCGCGAGAAGGCCGUGCGCUGCGUAACGUUUAUCCGACAUGUCCUGCGCGCUUGCCCUCGCUCAUGCCUCUGGGGGUGUCGGCGCCGACAUCGGCAAAGGGCGGCCCACCUACGCCGUUGUCACUGCUGCCACCGUCGCCAUCUUGCUACGAGGUCGCCCCUCAAGACAGGAUCACGCACAUCAGAAUGUCGCCGACGCCCAGUGUCAGUCACGAUGCCUCUAUCAGAGGACCUGCCUAUGCCCGCGCUGCGCCGUCGCCUCCGUCACCGCUGCGUCGUGCCGUGCCACCGGGCUGCCGCGGAGCAAGGUGGAACGGGCUAGCGUUGGCACCCUCUGACGGCGUAGGCUGUCGCGACGACCGCAGCAGCGAUUCCAACGAGCGCGAAGCGGUGUGGACACCGGCUACUCACACGCCGGCAACGUACCGCCGAGGUGCUCCGUACAACAUCAUCAGCAACCUACCCUGAUGCCGACCGGAGACUGUGGGCACAUGCCUCCAGAGGGUGGGUGGUAGUGAGGAGGAACAUGCGCGGUAUGUGCGUGUGCGUGUGCGCUGGAUGGAGGAUCGCCGAGCAUGAGAUCUCCUAUACGUGACUGAUGUGUGCGUAUGUGUGUGUGUGUGUGCGUUGUGUGUGUUGUAUGUAUGCCUUCUACCCUCGCCCUUUUCUCUUCCUCACCGUUUUCGG